Molecule: small nuclear RNA, 130 nt
Organism: Rattus norvegicus (Norway rat)
Lineage: Eukaryota; Metazoa; Chordata; Mammalia; Rodentia; Muridae
Source: Ensembl
GAGCUGUAUGAAAGGAGAGAAGUUUAGCACUCACUCCCCUUGACAAGGGUGGAAGAGGCCUGUGCGCCUGACAACAGACAUAUAGUUAAGGCACCGCCACCGACUGCGUGACAUCUAACCACUGUGGUUU